GUGGGGAAUCUUGCGCAAUGGGCGAAAGCCUGACGCAGCCAUGCCGCGUGAAUGAUGAAGGUCUUAGGAUUGUAAAAUUCUUUCACCGGGGACGAUAAUGACGGUACCCGGAGAAGAAGCUCCGGCUAACUUCGUGCCAGCAGCCGCGGUAAUACGAAGGGGGCUAGCGUUGCUCGGAAUUACUGGGCGUAAAGGGCGCGUAGGCGGACAGCUUAGUCAGAGGUGAAAGCCCAGGGCUCAACCUUGGAAUUGCCUUUGAUACUGGCUGUCUUGAGUUUGGGAGAGGUGAGGGGAACUCCGAGUGUAGAGGUGAAAUUCGUAGAUAUUCGGAAGAACACCAGUGGCGAAGGCGACUCACUGGCCCAAUACUGACGCUGAGGCGCGAAAGCGUGGGGAGCAAACAGGAUUAGAAACCCUUGUAGUCC
Molecule: ribosomal RNA, 425 nt
Filed under: uncultured bacterium
Lineage: Bacteria
Description: partial 16S ribosomal RNA
Rfam family: Bacterial small subunit ribosomal RNA
Source: RNAcentral